UUUCUAUGAUGAAUCAAACUAGUUCACUAUGACUGACAAUGAAAAUACAUGAAAAGCUGAGAAAC
Molecule: small nucleolar RNA, 65 nt
Organism: Callithrix jacchus (white-tufted-ear marmoset)
Lineage: Eukaryota; Metazoa; Chordata; Mammalia; Primates; Cebidae
Source: Ensembl